UGCCGCCCUAGAGCCUUUACCCUAUAACAGUGAAAUCAACAAUGGCUGUGUCAGGAGAAAUCUUUAACUUAGAUUAUUACAAGAUACUCUAAUGUUUAAAGAGCAAUCCGACAUAAGUGAAGAGGCAGGCGGCUGCUGCAAGUGAAUCUUGAGGCUUUUGGCUGAGGAGAAAACACAGAAAAUCUGAAAAAAGAUUAUUUGUGAACUUUCACCUACUUUUUCACCUUUAUAACUGGUAUAUUAUAUUUAAUUUUAACAUAGUAUUUUAUAGGUCCUUGGCAUACCCUCUCCAGAGGAAAUCAUUUUCUUCUAAGAGCACGUAUAAAUGAAUGUGCUAUAAUUCUACUUCAAAUAUGAAUGCAGCAUACAGAGAUAUCACAGAGGAAGACUAUUAACUGUUAAAUUGGAAUUCAUCCUCUUAUGAAUAUUUCAGGAAGGUCUUUGGGGGUGGAUACUGAUCCAGUAUGGCUAGUAUUCUUAUAAGAAGAGGAAAUUAGUAUGCAGACAUGCACUAAGAGAUCAUAGGAAGAUAAAGCCAAGAAGAGAAGCCUCCCAGGAACCAACUCUGCUGAAGUUUGAUCUCAAACUUCUAGUCUCCAGAACUAAGAGAAAAUAAAAUUUAUAUUGUUUAAGUAA
Long non-coding RNA from Chinchilla lanigera (long-tailed chinchilla), 636 nucleotides. RefSeq lists it as uncharacterized. The record is from RefSeq and is a predicted model, not a curated record. NCBI's taxonomy places the organism in Eukaryota, Metazoa, Chordata, Mammalia, Rodentia, Chinchillidae. The transcript has 4 exons.